RNAcentral lists this ribosomal RNA (305 nucleotides) under uncultured bacterium. RNAcentral describes it as "bacterial SSU rRNA". It matches the Rfam family "Bacterial small subunit ribosomal RNA", at positions 335 to 658 of the family's 1533-position model. The record is from RNAcentral.
UACCUACGGGACGCAGCAGUAGGGAAUAUUGCUCAAUGGGGGAAACCCUGAAGCAGCAACGCCGCGUGGAGGAUGAAGGUUUUCGGAUUGUAAACUCCUUUUGUUAGAGAAGAUAAUGACGGUAUCUAACGAAUAAGCACCGGCUAACUCCGUGCCAGCAGCCGCGGUAAUACGGAGGGUGCAAGCGUUACUCGGAAUCACUGGGCGUAAAGAGCGCGUAGGCGGGAUAGCAAGUCAGAUGUGAAAACUGAGGGCUCAACCUUCAGACUGCAUUUGAAGCUGCUGUUCUUGAGUGAAGUAGAGGG